UACGUAGGGUACUAGCGUUGUCCGGAAUCAUUGGGCGUAAAGGGUACGUAGGCGGAUAAGCAAGUUAGAAGUGAAAUCCUAUAGCUCAACUAUAGUAAGCUUUUAAAACUGCUCAUCUUGAGGUAUGGAAGGGAAAGUGGAAUUCCUAGUGUAGCGGUGAAAUGCGCAGAUAUUAGGAGGAAUACCAGUGGCGAAGGCGACUUUCUGGCCAUUAUCUGACGCUGAGGUACGAAAGCGUGGGGAGCGAACAGG
This 252-nucleotide ribosomal RNA is filed under the name uncultured bacterium. RNAcentral describes it as "partial 16S ribosomal RNA". It matches the Rfam family "Bacterial small subunit ribosomal RNA", at positions 524 to 776 of the family's 1533-position model. The record is from RNAcentral.